RNAcentral lists this ribosomal RNA (491 nucleotides) under Myrmecia froggatti. RNAcentral describes it as "partial 16S large subunit ribosomal RNA". Lineage: Eukaryota; Metazoa; Arthropoda; Insecta; Hymenoptera; Formicidae. The record is from RNAcentral.
AAUCAUGUAAGAUUUUAAAAGUCGAACAGACUUAACUAUUUAAACUCCUGCAUUUAAAGUUUAUCUUAAUUCAACAUCGAGGUCGCAAACAUUUUUAUUAAUAAGAACUCUCCAAAAAUAUUACGCUGUUAUCCCUAAGGUAAUUAAUUCUAAUUCUUUAAAUAAUAAUCUUUAAUUCAUUAAUUUAUGUUAUCUAAAUAUUAAAGUUUUUUUAAUUUAAUUAUCCCCCCAACUAAAUAUUAAAUUAUUACUAACUUAAAUUAAUAUUUUAUAACCAUUUAAUAUUAAAUUCUAUAGGGUCUUCUCGUCCCAUAAAACUAUUUAAGUAUUUUUACUUAAUAUAAAAUUUAUUAUUUUCAAUUUAAGAAAGUAUAAAUUUCAUCAAUUCCUUCAUCCUAGUCUACAAUUAAUAGACAAUUUAUUAUGCUACCUUUGCACAGUCAAUAUACUGCAGCUAUUUAAUAAAAUCAUUGAGCAGAAACAAUCUUAAA